UGAUGAAGGAAUGCUACCAUCAAAGGAUUUGUAUCUUUUGUGGUGGAGCAGGACCUGCAAGGAAAGGUGAAAAAGAGGGAAAACCUGAAACAAAAGAAUAAUGUAAUGACUUUUUGUAUUGUGUAUUUUUGUAGGACAUGAACAUGUCUGUAGACUGGUGUGUGCACUGAGGAUGGAGAAGACUACAGCAUCAUCCUGGAAAUGAUCGAGAGUCACAAAUGAGACGCUUUAUCACUCCAGCUCUUACCGUCUCAUCAGGACCAGAUGCUGCUGUGGUGUCUUCAUCCUCAGUGACCCCAGAGCCAGUGAGGGCAUCUAGAGAAAGACCACAAGACACUGAGCAUGUGAUUUUGGUAAUGUUUGUUCAGCUGGUUAAUGUUUAAACAAUGAAGGCUGACUUUCAGAAGCUUCAAAAGCAUCAUCAAAAAAUGUGAUGGAGCUUUUAUCUGAAGUGAUUGACAGUGCUCUUAUUACAGGGGCCUACAAUCCCCUGAUCAACCUGGAGAAGAGAGCCUUGCUCAAGGACACACUGGUGUUCCUGUGGCUCAAGGGGUAGAGCAUUGUGUUAGCAGUGCAAGGUUGUGGGUUCGAAUACCAGGGAACACAUGUUAGGUAGUCGUGCUCAUGGGGUGCAGGCACAUGAAAGUUCGGAGCAGACACAGCGGUCAGAUUGUCCUGCACGUGUUCCCCUGCUCUAGCUUCAAGGUUGUGUGGUUCAGAGAGCCGUCAUCAAGGUCUUCCUCAUCCUGUU
Carassius auratus (goldfish) is the source of this 751-nucleotide long non-coding RNA. RefSeq lists it as uncharacterized. The transcript is spliced from 3 exons. The record is from RefSeq and is a predicted model, not a curated record. Lineage: Eukaryota; Metazoa; Chordata; Actinopteri; Cypriniformes; Cyprinidae.